Molecule: microRNA precursor, 192 nt
Filed under: Oryza glumipatula
Lineage: Eukaryota; Viridiplantae; Streptophyta; Magnoliopsida; Poales; Poaceae
Description: MIR812 microRNA precursor family
Rfam family: MIR812 microRNA precursor family
Source: Rfam by way of RNAcentral
CCCAAGGUUUGACUUAAAUAUUAUCCUAAACGACUUUGUUUAUGAAUACGGAGGGAGUAUUUUUGUUGUUAUGAGAUGAUAAAACAUGAAUAGUACUUUACUUGUGACUUAUGUUUUUAAUUUUUUUUCAAAAAAGAUUCAAAUAAGACGGACGGUUAAAGUUGGGCAUGAAAAACGAUGGCUGCACUUAAA